Long non-coding RNA from Neofelis nebulosa (Clouded leopard), 361 nucleotides. RefSeq lists it as uncharacterized. Lineage: Eukaryota; Metazoa; Chordata; Mammalia; Carnivora; Felidae. The record is from RefSeq and is a predicted model, not a curated record. The transcript is spliced from 2 exons.
GAGUCUCUGUCUGGGUUCCUGAAAAAGCAGCCAGGGAAGGCCAGAGGAGGUGAAAAGGGAAGUCUCCCUCUCAGACCCAAGGCCUUUGCAUCCUCUUCUGGGGAAAAGGUGCUGUGGUGAAGAGAUCGCUACGGUUAACAGCCGCAGUCGACUCUGAGUAGAGAUCAUCCUCCAUCUGUGGGCAGCCUCAUCCAAUCUGCGGGAGGCCUUAUGAGCAAAAGCUGAGAAGAAAUUCUGACUCAAGACUGUGCUGUCAAAGCCUGUCUGAGCGCCCAGCUCGCUGGCCUGCCUACAGAUGUGAGACUUGCCACCCCCCACAAUUGGGUGAGCCAAUUCCUUAUAAUAAAUUCCUGUAUGUGUA